GCAGUGAGAUUUGGUGGGUAACAUGGUCUUUUAUUUACAUGGCCUUUUACUGGACCGACUUCUGUUGGUGAGAGAGCCAUGGAGCGCACUGUGGUUCGCCAUGCAUUGGCCAUACUAUUUGCUCUGCCCUGAGGGAGGGUGGAGAUGAGGCCGGGGAGCUGCCGGCGGAUGGGUUUCGAGCCUGCCUCGGGACGGCGGUGUCAACGGGUAACGUGGAGAUGACCCCGUGCUGGGCCCGAGGCCAACAGCGCCGCGUCUCCUUGCGGAGUAGAAUGGUUGACUUUCUCUGCUUCCGCCCGAAGCCUGAUUUCAGCAGGAGGUAUCCCUCCGCGUCUCCCCCCGCCUCCUGCUCCGCAGCAGAUGUCCGGCUGCCCCAUGCGAUGUCCGUUCAACUGUCAGGUUAACCGCCCCGCCACAUACCAGGCGAGACGCCAUGGGAAGGCGGCGGCUCCAGGCCGGGAGCCCGCAGGGAGGAGGAAAGGCGCUUGGGAAGUAGUUCCGGUGAGGAGCCGGAGGAGGGAAGUUACCGUCGCGCCGCCGCCGGUUCACAAUGACUAAUGAAGAACCUCUCCCAAAGAAGGUUCGCCUUAGUGAAACAGACUUUAAGGUUUUGGCUAGAGAUGAACUGAUCCUAAGGUGGAAGCAAUAUGAAGCAUAUGUACAGGCUCUGGAGGGCAAAUACACAGAUCUUAAUUCUAAUGAUGUAACUGGAUUGAGAGAGUCUGAAGAGAAGCUGAAGCAACAACAGCAAGAGUCUGCCCGAAGAGAGAAUAUCCUAGUGAUGAGGCUGGCAACUAAGGAACAGGAAAUGCAAGAGUGUACUAAUCAGAUUCAGUACCUCAAGCAAGUCCAGCAGCCUAGUGUUGCCCAACUGAGAUCAACAAUGGUGGACCCAGCCAUCAACUUGUUUUUCCUAAAAAUGAAAGGUGAACUGGAACAGACUAAAGACAAACUGGAACAAGCCCAAAAUGAACUGAGUGCCUGGAAAUUUACGCCUGAUAGAGGCCUGAUGGCGUCGGACUAUUCUGAAGAAGUGGCUGCCUCUGAAAAAAAAAUUUCUUUUCUAGAACAUGUAGACACGUGCAAAGUGGUUCUAUUUGAAGAAAUAGAGGGAGAAACAGAAGGCUUAAGUCUGUGGCACACUGUGUCUACAGACAGUUUGGAGGAGAGAGAACCUAGAGAUUUUAAAUCAUGAAUUGAACAUGUAAAAUUCCAGUAAAAUGUAAAAAUGGAAUAUGCUUCGCUCUUAACCUUGAGCCUAGUGACUUAGAGACACUGUAAGUCAGUUUUGCCAAUAAGACUGGACUUCCUGCUUGUUCACUGAACUGCUGGGUCAAAACUCAAUGAGGUCAGCACAACUCUAAGCUUCAAGAACUUGGCAUUGGACAUCACAUCAAGAUAAAGAACAGGUUGCUGUAUUAAGCACAUUUGCAGGCUUCCAGGACUUUACACAGCCAGAUUCCUUCUGGAGCAGCCCCUCUGAAAGAUGUGGGAGAGUCAGUUGGAAGACUUUAAAUGGGACAGUUGGCAGAACUAUUAAAAAUCUGAAGUGUUAAAAGCUUGAAUGCUUAAACAGUUAAUUGAGAGAUGAUUUGAAGUGACUUUUGGCUGGGCACCAGUUUUGCUGGGGAGAGCUGUGGUCUGAAGCACACUAGCAAUAUUUUUUUACCUUUUUAAUAUGCAAAAUUUCAUUCUGCCCUUGUAACUUUAUUAUACAGUCUCAAGCUGACCUCCUCAGGCUUGUUACCUAAUACAAGUCCUGAAGUUCAAUCACAAACCCAUUAAUUCUGUUUUUCCAGGGCUUUCAUUUCCUGUGGAAAAAGAGGACUGCUUCAUUAUAUAUGUUGCUAAACCUCAAAGAAGGCAAAAUAUUUGUGGUUACUUUCCAAACUUUGGCAGACCAACAGUGUUAGAGGGCUUUAGCUAUCAACUUUAUUUUGUGAUGAAAUAAACAUUAUUGCCUAUAUAUUAAUUUGCAUACUAGUUCCUAUAAUGCUCUACAUUGCAGUUUUAACAUGAAGAUUUAAGAUAUGCGUAUGUUCCUGAUUUUGCAAAAAGCAGACUAUCAAAUCUGCUUUUUCCCCAUGAAAUACUUUUUGGUCUGGUGUUUCCUGGCUUUUAAUCACCAGGCACUCUUAAAGGUACACUGUCAACUUUAAAAUCUGGUUAAACUUAAAAAAAACAAAAAAAAACACUACUUGCUCCUGAAUCCCCCUGCUGCCUUGUAUUUUUCAGCUCCAUUUUCUCUUAUCUCCCCUCACACUCUGUGAAAGACACAAAGGAGGAGCUGACUGUAGCUAUUGGGGAAACAACGAAGCAAUGUAUAUAAUAUAGUCAAAAGUACAAAACUGGAAAAAUAUAAAUAUUUAAUCAUUCAGGUACGUUAAGUAAGAAGUUUUCAUGCUGAUCAAAAAAACCCAUUAAAUUCAAUAUUCUUCAAACCUGACAGGUUAAAAAAAAAAAAAAAAAGCUGACUAGCUAGUAAAAUAUUUAGUACAUAAAGUGAAGGAGCACUUUUAAUGUUUGUAACUCACUGUCUGAUUACCAGGCACAUAACCUUUUUUUUUUCUUCCUUUGAGAAUGGA
Chelonia mydas (Green sea turtle) is the source of this 2585-nucleotide RNA transcript. It is a transcript of the gene named WT1 associated protein, with no coding region annotated. The transcript has 8 exons. NCBI's taxonomy places the organism in Eukaryota, Metazoa, Chordata, Testudines, Cheloniidae. The record is from RefSeq and is a predicted model, not a curated record.